This 415-nucleotide ribosomal RNA is filed under the name uncultured bacterium. Its description in RNAcentral is "bacterial SSU rRNA". It matches the Rfam family "Bacterial small subunit ribosomal RNA", at positions 355 to 787 of the family's 1533-position model. The record is from RNAcentral.
UGGGGAAUAUUGCACAAUGGGGGAAACCCUGAUGCAGCGACGCCGCGUGAGCGAUGAAGUAUUUCGGUAUGUAAAGCUCUAUCAGCAGGGAAGAAAGUGACGGUACCUGACUAAGAAGCCCCGGCUAACUACGUGCCAGCAGCCGCGGUAAUACGUAGGGGGCAAGCGUUAUCCGGAUUUACUGGGUGUAAAGGGAGCGUAGACGGAAGUGCAAGUCUGAAGUGAAAGCCCGGGGCUCAACCCCGGGACUGCUUUGGAAACUGUAUUUCUAGAGUGCUGGAGAGGUAAGUGGAAUUCCUAGUGUAGCGGUGAAAUGCGUAGAUAUUAGGAGGAACACCAGUGGCGAAGGCGGCUUACUGGACAGUGACUGACGUUGAGGCUCGAAAGCGUGGGGAGCAAACAGGAUUAGAUACCC